GACGAACGCUGGCGGCGUGGAUUAGGCAUGCAAGUCGAACGGUAUCAUCCUUUCGGGGGUGAGAGAGUGGCGAACUGGUGAGUAACACGUAGGUUAUCUACCCUCAAGACGGGGACAACCCAGGGAAACUUGGGCUAAUACCGGAUGUGAGCAACUUUUAGUUGUUUGAAAGGUGGCGUAAGCUGUCGCUUGGGGAUGAGCCUGCGUCCUAUUAGUUAGUUGGUGAGGUAACGGCUCACCUAGGCAAUGAUAGGUAGGCGGCCUUAACGGGUGGUCGCCCACACUGGGAUUGAGAUACGGCCCAGACUCCUACGGGAGGCAGCAGUCGAGAGUAGUCUACAAUGGUCGGAAGACUGAUAGUGCGACGCCGCGUGAACGAUGAAUCCCUUCGGGGUGUAAAGUUCUUUUAUAUGUGAGCAGUGCUUCUUAUAUUAACAGUAUGGGGAAGAGAUAUUAGCAUAUGAAUAAGCAACGGCUAACUCCGUGCCAGCAGCCGCGGUAAUA
This 504-nucleotide ribosomal RNA is filed under the name uncultured bacterium. Its description in RNAcentral is "bacterial SSU rRNA". It matches the Rfam family "Bacterial small subunit ribosomal RNA", at positions 28 to 525 of the family's 1533-position model. The record is from RNAcentral.